This 580-nucleotide ribosomal RNA is filed under the name Bacillus cereus. RNAcentral describes it as "bacterial SSU rRNA". It matches the Rfam family "Bacterial small subunit ribosomal RNA", at positions 186 to 751 of the family's 1533-position model. The record is from RNAcentral. Lineage: Bacteria; Bacillati; Bacillota; Bacilli; Caryophanales; Bacillaceae.
CCGCAUGGUUCGANAUUGAAAGGCGGCUUCGGCUGUCACUUAUGGAUGGACCCGCGUCGCAUUAGCUAGUUGGUGAGGUAACGGCUCACCAAGGCAACGAUGCGUAGCCGACCUGAGAGGGUGAUCGGCCACACUGGGACUGAGACACGGCCCAGACUCCUACGGGAGGCAGCAGUAGGGAAUCUUCCGCAAUGGACGAAAGUCUGACGGAGCAACGCCGCGUGAGUGAUGAAGGCUUUCGGGUCGUAAAACUCUGUUGUUAGGGAAGAACAAGUGCUAGUUGAAUAAGCUGGCACCUUGACGGUACCUAACCAGAAAGCCACGGCUAACUACGUGCCAGCAGCCGCGGUAAUACGUAGGUGGCAAGCGUUAUCCGGAAUUAUUGGGCGUAAAGCGCGCGCAGGUGGUUUCUUAAGUCUGAUGUGAAAGCCCNCGGCUCAACCGUGGAGGGUCAUUGGAAACUGGGAGACUUGAGUGCAGAAGAGGAAAGUGGAAUUCCAUGUGUAGCGGUGAAAUGCGUAGAGAUAUGGAGGAACNCNNGUGGCGAAGGCGACUUUCUGGUCUGUAACUGACACUGAGG